CCAACUGUAUAUUUAAAGAGACUCAUCAGUUAGAGAGAGACUCAACUGCAUCCUAGGGAGCUGACCUAAGAAUCACUGUAGCCAUAUGCAGCACAGGAACCUGAAACUCUAGGCUCAGCUGCAGCCUUUUCAGUGAUGAAGUCAAUGCUUAAGUCUAGACUAGUAAUGAAUAAGGUAGCUGUAAGUAAGAAUAGUUCAUCACCCACUGCUGGGUUUGCAUCCUCCUCCAAAUAGGCCCUCCUUAUUUGCUUCCUGUGGCUGCUGUAGCAAAUUAUCACAAACUGGGAGGCUUAAAACAACAGAAAUUUAUU
This 311-nucleotide long non-coding RNA is filed under the name Homo sapiens (human). RNAcentral's name for it is "non-protein coding lnc-MARCH6-4:2". Lineage: Eukaryota; Metazoa; Chordata; Mammalia; Primates; Hominidae. The record is from RNAcentral.